This 1176-nucleotide ribosomal RNA is filed under the name human gut metagenome. RNAcentral's name for it is "bacterial SSU rRNA". It matches the Rfam family "Bacterial small subunit ribosomal RNA", at positions 334 to 1520 of the family's 1533-position model. The record is from RNAcentral.
AACUCCUACGGGAGGCAGCAGUGAGGAAUAUUGGUCAAUGGCCGAGAGGCUGAACCAGCCAAGUCGCGUGAAGGAAGAAGGAUCUAUGGUUUGUAAACUUCUUUUAUAGGGGAAUAAAGUGGAGGACGUGUCCUUUUUUGUAUGUACCCUAUGAAUAAGCAUCGGCUAACUCCGUGCCAGCAGCCGCGGGAAUACGGAGGAUUCAAGCGUUAUCCGGAUUUAUUGGGUUUAAAGGGUGCGUAGGUGGUGAUUUAAGUCAGCGGUGAAAGUUUGUGGCUCAACCAUAAAAUUGCCGUUGAAACUGGGUUACUUGAGUGUGUUUGAGGUAGGCGGAAUGCGUGGUGUAGCGGUGAAAUGCAUAGAUAUCACGCAGAACUCCGAUUGCGAAGGCAGCUUACUAAACCAUAACUGACACUGAAGCACGAAAGCGUGGGGAUCAAACAGGAUUAGAUACCCUGGUAGUCCACGCAGUAAACGAUGAUUACUAGGAGUUUGCGAUACAAUGUAAGCUCUACAGCGAAAGCGUUAAGUAAUCCACCUGGGGAGUACGCCGGCAACGGUGAAACUCAAAGGAAUUGACGGGGGCCCGCACAAGCGGAGGAACAUGUGGUUUAAUUCGAUGAUACGCGAGGAACCUUACCCGGGUUUGAACGUAGUCUGACCGGAGUGGAAACACUCUUUCUAGCAAUAGCAGAUUACGAGGUGCUGCAUGGUUGUCGUCAGCUCGUGCCGUGAGGUGUCGGCUUAAGUGCCAUAACGAGCGCAACCCUUAUCACUAGUUACUAACAGGUGAAGCUGAGGACUCUGGUGAGACUGCCAGCGUAAGCUGUGAGGAAGGUGGGGAUGACGUCAAAUCAGCACGGCCCUUACAUCCGGGGCGACACACGUGUUACAAUGGCAUGGACAAAGGGCAGCUACCUGGUGACAGGAUGCUAAUCUCCAAACCAUGUCUCAGUUCGGAUCGGAGUCUGCAACUCGACUCCGUGAAGCUGGAUUCGCUAGUAAUCGCGCAUCAGCCAUGGCGCGGUGAAUACGUUCCCGGGCCUUGUACACACCGCCCGUCAAGCCAUGGGAGCCGGGGGUACCUGAAGUCCGUAACCGCAAGGAUCGGCCUAGGGUAAAACUGGUGACUGGGGCUAAGUCGUAACAAGGUAGCCGUACCGGAAGGUGCGGCUG